GAUUACGACAGUUCACAUAGUGGUUGUGCGAAAACUCAUUUAGAGAUUACAAGAAAUCUUGGGUUCCUAGUACUCUUUACAUAUACUCAAUGUCAAGUGCUUGUGUAUGGAAUUUUAGAAGUUAAGUCAUUGUGGGCUUUUGUGUUUGUAUUUGGACAUCAUUAACGAGUUACAUGUUGUCUUCUCAGGGCCUUCUAGUCUGCAUGACGAUUGACUUAUGUGGUGUAUAGAUGGAGGCCAAUAUUUGUUCUCUUGUUGGGGUUUGCUUGCUUGAUGAGGUUCUUUGGCUAGAGUUCCCGGCUAGCAGACUUGUACUUAUUCAGUCCACAGUUGCUACCAUUCCUAAUUACUUUAUGUAAUGUCGCAUGCUUCGCAUAGGCAUACUCAGCAAACUGGAUCUUAUUAAUAGAAAUUUUUUAUGAGGUGGCAGUGAGCAUUCAAAGAAAAUGCAUCUGGUUAGGUGGGAAACUGUUACACUUCCCAAGGCUGAGUGGGGAAUUGACACUCCUGCUAAACCAAAAAACCAAUCCCUUCUUGUUAAGUUGGGGUGGCAAUUCAUCCACGAGAAGGAUAAUCUCUGGGCGAAAACGCUUGUCGCCAAGUACCCCUCGUAACCCCCCUUCGCUUGACUAAUACGUCCUUUACCUGGAUCUCGCUUAGAAAGGUUAGUCCUCUGCUGGAAGCUGGUAUGAGAUCGGUGGUACGGGUGGCACGAUUGUUAACUUUUGGAAUGAUAACUGGUCUGGGCUUCGACCUUGAGAAGUUUUGUCCAAGUGCCCCUGCGAGCUUUGGAAAGCACUUGGAACUUUGAGCAGGUGAGAGAGGGUCGGGUCUCUAUGCAACCCCCCGGGAAAUUUUGGACUCCUUUUUUUAAGUACCCCUAUAUCUCGACCCGCUUCAUUGUUCAGAUUCUUUUUGUUGGAGUCCCUUUAAAUGGGGCAUUUUCUCUUUAUCCACUGCUAACGCUCUUGCCCUCGACUCUCCCCCUAUAAAUUCCAACAACGGUAAGGAGCUCUGGACGACAGUAUGGAAAGCCAAACUUCCUUCUAAAUUGAAAGUCUUUCUGUGGAAAUGUGGGUUGAAAUCUCUCCCAUGAAUCUGGUUCUGAGCCGAAGAGGCUUAACUGUACUUGAUCAGUGCCCAUUACGCUCUAAUCUAGGGGAGAGUAUUCAACAUUUGUUCUGGGAUUUCCAUGUCACUAUCACAGAUUUGGAGUCAUAUCCUUGUUACAUUUCAUUGUCUGUCAAUUCCCAUGAUUGAUCGGGUUCAGUGGCUAGAUGCCAACCUAUCUUCCUCGAUGUGGUUGCACAACCCAUGCCUAAUGGUGUAUUAUAUGCAUAACCAAUUCUUGUACAAUUCUAGCCACACAUAUAAACUAUAUAUUUAUGCUUGAAUGUCAAGUUUCUAUAAAUGAAUCCUGAAAUUAAGCUUUAGCAACUUUA
This is a long non-coding RNA of Gossypium raimondii (Peruvian cotton), 1442 nucleotides long. RefSeq lists it as uncharacterized. Lineage: Eukaryota; Viridiplantae; Streptophyta; Magnoliopsida; Malvales; Malvaceae. The record is from RefSeq and is a predicted model, not a curated record. The transcript is spliced from 2 exons.